GAGAGUUUGAUCCUGGCUCAGGACGAACGCUGGCGGCGCGCCUAACACAUGCAAGUCGAACGAGCGAGAGAGAGCUUGCUUUCUCGAGCGAGUGGCGAACGGGUGAGUAACGCGUGAGGAACCUGCCUCAAAGAGGGGGACAACAGUUGGAAACGACUGCUAAUACCGCAUAAGCCCACGGGUCGGCAUCGACCUGAGGGAAAAGGAGUGAUCCGCUUUGAGAUGGCCUCGCGUCCGAUUAGCUAGUUGGUGAGGUAACGGCCCACCAAGGCGACGAUCGGUAGCCGGACUGAGAGGUUGAACGGCCACAUUGGGACUGAGACACGGCCCAGACUCCUACGGGAGGCAGCAGUGGGGAAUAUUGCACAAUGGGGGAAACCCUGAUGCAGCGACGCCGCGUGGAGGAAGAAGGUCUUCGGAUUGUAAACUCCUGUUGUUGAGGAAGAUAAUGACGGUACUCAACAAGGAAGUGACGGCUAACUACGUGCCAGCAGCCGCGGUAAAACGUAGGUCACAAGCGUUGUCCGGAAUUACUGGGUGUAAAGGGAGCGCAGGCGGGAAGACAAGUUGGAAGUGAAAUCUAUGGGCUUAACCCAUAAACUGCUUUCAAAACUGUUUUUCUUGAGUAGUGCAGAGGUAGGCGGAAUUCCCGGUGUAGCGGUGGAAUGCGUAGAUAUCGGGAGGAACACCAGUGGCGAAGGCGGCCUACUGGGCACCAACUGACGCUGAGGCUCGAAAGUGUGGGUAGCAAACAGGAUUAGAUACCCUGGUAGUCCACACCGUAAACGAUGAUUACUAGGUGUUGGAGGAUUGACCCCUUCAGUGCCGCAGUUAACACAAUAAGUAAUCCACCUGGGGAGUACGACCGCAAGGUUGAAACUCAAAGGAAUUGACGGGGGCCCGCACAAGCAGUGGAGUAUGUGGUUUAAUUCGACGCAACGCGAAGAACCUUACCAAGUCUUGACAUCCUGCGACGAUGCUAGAAAUAGUAUUUUCCUUCGGGACGCAGAGACAGGUGGUGCAUGGUUGUCGUCAGCUCGUGUCGUGAGAUGUUGGGUUAAGUCCCGCAACGAGCGCAACCCUUAUGGUCAGUUACUACGCAAGAGGACUCUGGCCAGACUGCCGUUGACAAAACGGAGGAAG
This 1143-nucleotide ribosomal RNA is filed under the name uncultured Clostridia bacterium. RNAcentral describes it as "bacterial SSU rRNA". It matches the Rfam family "Bacterial small subunit ribosomal RNA", at positions 8 to 1172 of the family's 1533-position model. The record is from RNAcentral. Lineage: Bacteria; Bacillati; Bacillota; Clostridia.